RNAcentral lists this ribosomal RNA (462 nucleotides) under uncultured bacterium. RNAcentral describes it as "partial 16S ribosomal RNA". It matches the Rfam family "Bacterial small subunit ribosomal RNA", at positions 28 to 507 of the family's 1533-position model. The record is from RNAcentral.
GACGAACGCUGGCGGCGUGCUUAACACAUGCAAGUCGAGCGGAAAGGCCCUUCGGGGUACUCGAGCGGCGAACGGGUGAGUAACACGUGAGUAACCUGCCCUAGGCUUUGGGAUAACCCCGGGAAACCGGGGCUAAUACCGGAUAUGACCUGGUGCCGCAUGGUGUUGGGUGGAAAGUUUUUUCGGCCUGGGAUGGGCCCGCGGCCUAUCAGCUUGUUGGUGGGGUGAUGGCCUACCAAGGCGAUGACGGGUAGCCGGCCUGAGAGGGCGACCGGCCACACUGGGACUGAGAAACGGCCCAGACUCCUACGGGAGGCAGCAGUGGGGAAUAUUGCACAAUGGGCGGAAGCCUGAUGCAGCGACGCCGUGUGAGGGAUGAAGGCCUUCGGGUUGUAAACCUCUUUCAGCAGGGACGAAGCGUGAGUGACGGUACCUGCAGAAGAAGCGCCGGCCAACUACGUG